UAAAUUUUUGAAAUAAAAACUUAGAUGAAUUGAGUUGAAUUGAGUAUUACUUGCCAUUUUUAAAAAAAUUAUAUGAUAAUUGAUAAUUAAAAAAGUAUAAAAGAAAAAAAAAUUAAAAUAGAGUAACUAUUAAACAAACACCUAAAGUUGAGGAACUAUCGAUUAAAAUUAGCCUAAGUUUGACAAUAUCAUGCAACAUAUGCAGGCAAACAAUUAAUCAAUGUGAUUCUUAUUCAAUCCCAAAGGUAUUUGGAAACAUGUCCACAUUAAGAAGAGAUGCGACUAAAACUGAUAACAUACACUCUUUCUGAAAAAAUAGCUGAAAAUCCUACAGAUUACUAAUACACCAGGAAUUACGAGAUCAGAAGGUUGCAAGUGGCCAUCCACUCUUAUAUUGCCAUGAGAUCACCAUAAUUCCGCAUCAGAAAAAUGGAUCCUGCGAACAGUCCACCAGCUCGAAGCAAUUUCUGCAACAAGAAAGAGUGAAUUCCUCAAUAGCCAAUAUAGAAGGAAAGCAAAACUCCACUUGCAAUUUAUAUAAGAACAAAUGACAUAUAAUGAAAAUUUGCUUAUGAAAACUCAUUUCAAGGUUUGAGCAGCAUUUUAUCUAACCACCUAUUCCAAGAAAUUCUUAUUUCCCAAAGAGAUAUGAACAACACUAAGAUUGUCCAAUGUAGGCCCAUGAGCAGAUGGCGUAGGAGUAGAUUGAUAAAUAAGACAAUCUGAAAAUGAUUAGCUCAAUUGUGCACCAAUUACAAAGCUUGCAUCCAGAACAACAGUAAGUGGGGAGAUUAUUUACACUAUUUCUCAUACAGUCUUAACCCCCAAAAGAGCAUGUUCUGGUUUUGAAAAACAAAAUUUGAACAAAUAUGCCAUGAGGCAUCCAUCACUCGUCUAAAAUCAUCCUACAAAACAGAAUCUGCAGGAAGAAAUUACCCUGAAACUCAAUUCGGCAUAAGAUUCAUUUUAUACAGAAGGAACCUAAAUCUUUUAUUAAAGAUUUCUCUUUCACAGUGAUAUGUAUGCUGAAAAUAACAAUGUGGUCAUCUUAACUGAUGAUUUUUGAGUGAAAUCAUAAGUGAAAGAACCUGCCAAAGGUUCAAUAAUAAACGUCACAAGUAUGCAUUAAACUAAAUCUGAACUCUUGAUUUUUGGAAAUUGAAAUAUUUAUCUCACACUUUUGUUUGUAAUGGACUUUUUUAAGCUGCCCUUAUAGCCUUCUAUCACAAAAUUCUGUACUCUAUGACAAAUUUCCCUAGCCUAGAAAACAUAUCUCUUGAUGCCAGACAUGAAAUAGUUCCUGGAUUUUUUGAAGGAAAAACUCUGUUACAUUAAUGCCUCUUUCAUUUUAUAGGAUGUUUUAAGACCCAGCUCAGUGAAAAGCUUAAACAUCUUGUUUAUUACCUUCAGAAAGGAAAAAUAUAAUGUUUUCACUGUAUUUUCAUGUCUUGGAAGAGAUCCUGCUCAGCUGCUCUUCAAACAUGGAAUAUACUGCUAGACAUAAAACUCUCUCAAAUCUUUUAGUUUAAAAUAAAUCCUUUAAUUUCAAGCAUCUAGAUAAAGGGAUUUGCAAAACCAAAUCAAAUCCAAAAAUUUUCUUCCUCAAGAACACUGAGCUGAGAAUGAAAUGAUAAUACACCUACAUGGAUUUAGCAUUUUAUCUAGCUUUUUCUAAAUAGCAAGUUGUAUGCAGUGUUUACUACCACUUCAAAUGUGUUAUCUAAAACACAAUUUCCUCAUAAAUUGCCUUUGACGUCAUUCUGGCCUACUAUUCUUUUGCUUGCUUACUACCACUUCAAAUGUGGGUUCCUGUUAACUCAGUCAUUCCUCCUAGACCUCCCACUCUCUCUUUUCCUGUUUAUUUGUCGUGAGACGUGCAUGUUGUUUCUUCUCUUUAAUUCUCAUUGAGGAAGAAAAACUACUAUCUUUUCCCACUGUUUCUUCAUUCAAAUUAUUCGGCUUGGAAACAAAAUACACCAAAUAGCUACAGCAAAAGUAGUAAGGAAAUAAAGUAGUAACUUAAAAAGAAAGAACCCAUGAAGUACUUCGAUUACAGCAACUGUUUGCAGCCACCAAGGCAAACUUAAAAUCCAUCCUAUUUCCAAGCACCCUUUCACACAUCCAAUGACCUAUCCAUAUCAAUUCUCCAUAGGAUUUAACUCACACUUCCUCUGAUGAAACCACAUCAACACUGAAAAUUCAAUCAAACAGAAAUAUAAUAAUCAUUCGAAGAAUCAAUGGAAAAUUGCCACAUCCAAAGACACGCAUUGAAAUCAAGACAAACCAAACACCACAAGCCAAAAACAGCCUAUUUCAGCUCUCACUCGCCAUUCGUAUUUAUGCAUGUUGAAAUCAAAAGAAUAUAUAAUGGAGUAAAAAAAUGCCUAAUUUUACGAAAAUAAAUUGCGAGUUUAGGAGAUUAAAGAAAAUUGUAGAAAGCGAGAUCAUACCAUGUUGAGGGCCCA
RNAcentral lists this unclassified non-coding RNA (2465 nucleotides) under Hevea brasiliensis (rubber tree). The record is from RNAcentral. Lineage: Eukaryota; Viridiplantae; Streptophyta; Magnoliopsida; Malpighiales; Euphorbiaceae.